CUUCUGGCGGGCUGGGCGCCGUCGCCACCGCCGCGCGUCUCGAGGCUCCGCCCACUCAGUGCUCCCGCACCCGCGGCGCCGGGCUCCAGGUUGUGCAUUUUUUCAGUCACCAGUUCUGGUGACCAUGAAGGGAUUCAGCGCAGACUUCUCUGCUUCACCUAAACUCUAUGAGGCACCAGAGCCUUGGUGCCAGCAGAGGCCUCUCGUGCCCGUCUCCCUCCUUGGAGAGUCCAGACGAAUUUGGGUUUGAAAAAGCAUGGCUCUGAUUUAUGUGCCUGGAGGUUGGUCGUGCCACACACCAAAAAUUUUUUUAAAAAGCAAGAAAAAAAAAUAAUAAAGAAAGAAAGAACAAACGAACAAACAUAUAGGAGGCAACAGGUUUAAAAUGGGAAGACAUGCUCAAGCAAUUUCACUCCUAGGAUUUCACAGGCGACACACAUAUGUAAAGAUUUGCCUGAGUGCUGCUAGCAAUGCUUACCCCCUCGCCUGAGAUGCUCAAAGAACUGAAGACCUAGAAGGGCUCUUAGGAAACUGAGAGCUGGAAAAGCUGAAUGACCCGACUGGCGAGACGGAGCAUAGGGCAAAAUGCAAAUUAAAACCCCGGUCCCAUACACUGUCCACUCGACGUGCUUUUUCCUCUUUUCUCAUUUUAUGUGAGUGAAGAAACUGGAACCCUUGCACACUGCUGGCAAAAAUGUAAAUGGUGCAGACCCUUUGAAAAACGGUUUGGCAGAUUCUCAAAAAGUUAAACACAGGGUUACUUACUAUACGACCCAGGAAUGCCACUCCUAAGUAUAUCUCCAAGAGAAAUAAAAAUGUGUGUCUAUGCAAAGGCUUGUCCACAAAUAUUCAUAGCCACAUUAUUUGUAAGGGCUCCAAAGUGGAAAUAAUCUGAAUGUCUAUCCACUGAUGAAUGGAUAAACAAAACCGAUUGUAAAAUAAGCAAAAUUUAUUUAGAAAUAAAAUGAAAUAAAAUAGUUAUGCUAUAUUAUGUUAUUCAGCAAUAAAAAGAAAUAAAUUACUGAUGUACGCUAUGAUAUGGAUGAGUCUCGAAAGCAUGCUAAGUGAAAGAAACCAAGAACAAAAGACUACAUAUGGUAUGAAUCCACUGAUAAAUGUCCUAAAUAGGCAAAUCUAUAGAGAUAGAGAGUAAAACUGGUUUCAAAGGGCUCAGGGGAGUGGGGAAUGACUACUAAUGGGGCUGGGUUGUGAGGGAUGAAAAUGUUCUAAAACUACAUCAGGGAUGGUAACAUGAGCCCGUGAACCUAUUAAAACCAUUGGAUUGAAACCUUUAAAUUACUAAAUUAGAUGGCAUAUGAGUUCUAUCUCGCUAAAGCUAUUUUUAAAUGAUUAAACAAAGAACUAGUUAUUUCCUUUAAGUAACCACAACUUUAUGUAGAGGAUUUAAAACACGUUUUCACAAGGUCUCUGACACGUCCCCCCUCAAGAGGUCCUCUCCCCUUGGACGUGGGUAGACAUCUGUGAUUGCCUUGACCAAUGAACUGUGGCAGAAGUAAUGUUCCCUGACUUAAGGGGCUACGUAGAAAAGGCCAUGCACCAUCAGUAGCAAGUCCACAAAUAACAAAUGCUGGAGAGGGUGUGGAGAAAAGGGAACCCUCCUGCACUGUUGGUGGGAAGGUAAGCUGGUACAGACACUAUGGAGAACAAUAUGGAGGUACCUUA
Sus scrofa (pig) is the source of this 1683-nucleotide non-coding RNA. Lineage: Eukaryota; Metazoa; Chordata; Mammalia; Artiodactyla; Suidae. The record is from RefSeq and is a predicted model, not a curated record.